This 480-nucleotide ribosomal RNA is filed under the name uncultured Allobrachymonas sp. RNAcentral describes it as "bacterial SSU rRNA". It matches the Rfam family "Bacterial small subunit ribosomal RNA", at positions 897 to 1382 of the family's 1533-position model. Lineage: Bacteria; Pseudomonadati; Pseudomonadota; Betaproteobacteria; Burkholderiales; Comamonadaceae. The record is from RNAcentral.
AAACUUAAAUGAAUUGACGGGACCCGCACAAGCGGUGGAUGAUGUGGAUUAAUUCGAUGCAACGCGAAAAACCUUACCUACCCUUGACAUGUCCGGAAUCCCGAAGAGAUUUGGGAGUGCUCGAAAGAGAACCUGCACACAGGUGCUGCAUGGCUGUCGUCAGCUCGUGUCGUGAGAUGUUGGGUUAAGUCCCGCAACGAGCGCAACCCUUGCCAUUAGUUGCUACGAAAGGGCACUCUAAUGGGACUGCCGGUGACAAACCGGAGGAAGGUGGGGAUGACGUCAAGUCCUCAUGGCCCUUAUAGGUGGGGCUACGCACGUCAUACAAUGGCCGGUACAGAGGGUAGCCAACCCGCGAGGGGGAGCCAAUCCCACAAAGCCGGUCGUAGUCCGGAUCGCAGUCUGCAACUCGACUGCGUGAAGUCGGAAUCGCUAGUAAUCGCGGAUCAGCAUGUCGCGGUGAAUACGUUCCCGGGUCUU